GCCUGCCCAGUGAUUUUUUUUAACGGCCGCGGUACUUUGACCGUGCAAAGGUAGCAUAAUCAAUUGCCUUAUAAUUGAAGGCUAGUAUGAAAGGUUUAACGAAAGUUAAGCUGUCUUUUUUUAAAUAAAAAGAAAUUAACUUAUAAGUGCAAAGGCUUAUAUGUAACUAAAAGACAAGAAGACCCUAUUGAGCUUAUAAAAAUAUUUAAGAUCAAAGUAUAUAAAAAUUAUAAUCUUUCAGAAUUUUUAGUUGGGGCGACUUAGGAAUAAAUAUAACUUCCUAGUAUUAAAAUUACUUUUAUGUUUUAUCCAAAAAUUUUUGAUUAUCAGAAUUAGUUACCAUAGGGAUAACAGCAUAAUCUUUCUUAGGAGUUCUAAUCGAAAGAAAGGAUUGUGACCUCGAUGUUGGACUAGAAUAUCCUAAAGGUGCAGAAGCUUUUAAGGGU
This 446-nucleotide ribosomal RNA is filed under the name Pomacea paludosa. RNAcentral describes it as "partial 16S ribosomal RNA". It matches the Rfam family "Bacterial large subunit ribosomal RNA", at positions 1857 to 2572 of the family's 2925-position model. Lineage: Eukaryota; Metazoa; Mollusca; Gastropoda; Architaenioglossa; Ampullariidae. The record is from RNAcentral.